Molecule: ribosomal RNA, 303 nt
Filed under: uncultured bacterium
Lineage: Bacteria
Description: partial 16S ribosomal RNA
Rfam family: Bacterial small subunit ribosomal RNA
Source: RNAcentral
AGCAUAGCCACGGUAAUACAGAGGGUGCGAGCGUUAAUCGGAUUUACUGGGCGUAAAGCGUGCGUAGGCGGCUUUUUAAGUCGGAUGUGAAAUCCCUGAGCUUAACUUAGGAAUUGCAUUCGAUACUGGGAAGCUAGAGUAUGGGAGAGGAUGGUAGAAUUCCAGGUGUAGCGGUGAAAUGCGUAGAGAUCUGGAGGAAUACCGAUGGCGAAGGCAGCCAUCUGGCCUAACACUGACGCUGAGGUACGAAAGCAUGGGGAGCAAACAGGAUUAGAUACCCCCGUAGUCCCUGUCUCUUAUACA